UAGGGAAUCUUCCACAAUGGACGCAAGUCUGAUGGAGCAACGCCGCGUGAGUGAAGAAGGUUUUCGGACCGUAAAGCUCUGUUGUUGGUGAAGAAGGAUAGAGGUAGUAACUGGCCUUUAUUUGACGGUAAUCAACCAGAAAGUCACGGCUAACUACGUGCCAGCAGCCGCGGUAAUACGUAGGUGGCAAGCGUUGUCCGGAUUUAUUGGGCGUAAAGCGAGCGCAGGCGGAAGAAUAAGUCUGAUGUGAAAGCCCUCGGCUUAAACCGA
This 270-nucleotide ribosomal RNA is filed under the name uncultured bacterium. RNAcentral describes it as "partial 16S ribosomal RNA". It matches the Rfam family "Bacterial small subunit ribosomal RNA", at positions 355 to 616 of the family's 1533-position model. The record is from RNAcentral.